GUAGGGAAUCUUGCGCAAUGGGCGAAAGCCUGACGCAGCCAUGCCGCGUGAAUGAUGAAGGUCUUAGGAUUGUAAAAUUCUUUCACCGGGGACGAUAAUGACGGUACCCGGAGAAGAAGCCCCGGCUAACUUCGUGCCAGCAGCCGCGGUAAUACGAAGGGGGCUAGCGUUGCUCGGACUUACUGGGCGUAAAGGGAGCGUAGGCGGAUAGUUUAGUCAGAGGUGAAAGCCCAGGGCUCAACCUUGGAAUUGCCUUUGAUACUGGCUAUCUUGAGUAUGGAAGAGGUAUGUGGAACUCCGAGUGUAGAGGUGAAAUUCGUAGAUAUUCGGAAGAACACCAGUGGCGAAGGCGACAUACUGGUCCAUUACUGACGCUGAGGCUCGAAAGCGUGGGGAGCAAACAGGAUUAGAUACCCUAGUAGUCC
Molecule: ribosomal RNA, 425 nt
Filed under: uncultured bacterium
Lineage: Bacteria
Description: partial 16S ribosomal RNA
Rfam family: Bacterial small subunit ribosomal RNA
Source: RNAcentral